AGACCCGUAGCUCAACUGGCAGAGCGCCUGACUCUGGAUUAGGAGGCUUCAGGUUCGAUUCCUGACGGGUCUG
Molecule: transfer RNA, 73 nt
Filed under: Dehalococcoidia bacterium
Lineage: Bacteria; Bacillati; Chloroflexota; Dehalococcoidia
Description: tRNA-Gln
Rfam family: tRNA
About the family: Transfer RNA (tRNA) molecules are approximately 80 nucleotides in length. Their secondary structure includes four short double-helical elements and three loops (D, anti-codon, and T loops).
Source: RNAcentral